UCCUAGGUCACUUGUUAAAACCAAGACAUC
This 30-nucleotide non-coding RNA is filed under the name Mus musculus (house mouse). The record is from RNAcentral. Lineage: Eukaryota; Metazoa; Chordata; Mammalia; Rodentia; Muridae.